GGCAUAUAGACGGUGGGAGGAAGACCCGAGGUCACUCCCGGGUUGGAGCAUAGCUGGACCUGCCAACUGGCCGCAUCUAGAUGUCAACUAUUCUCAUCAUAGACCGACCUGGCACCGAGAGGAUUUCCUCCAGCUUCGGGUGCGGGGACACACACACACAGAGUAAAGAAAGCAAACCGUUUUCACACAAAGUAGAUUGUGUUUCGUUGCUCUCGGAAAAUGCUACCCUACAGAAAGUAAGCAGGAACAAAAUUGUUUAAGAAGGAACUGCAGAUGCUGGAAAAUCGAAGGUAGACAAAAAUGCUGGAGAAACUCAGCGGGUGCGGCAGUAUCUAUGGAGCGAAGGAAAUGGGCAAUGUUUCGGGUCAAAAACUUCCUUCAGAAUUUAGAACAAAAUUGUAAUAUUUUCAAAACAUUAAAUUAUGUGUCCAAUAU
Leucoraja erinaceus (little skate) is the source of this 435-nucleotide long non-coding RNA. RefSeq lists it as uncharacterized. Lineage: Eukaryota; Metazoa; Chordata; Chondrichthyes; Rajiformes; Rajidae. The transcript is spliced from 2 exons. The record is from RefSeq and is a predicted model, not a curated record.